CCUACGGGAGGCAGCAGUAGGGAAUCUUCGUCAAUGGGCGCAAGCCUGAACGAGCAAUGCCACGUGAAGGAGGAAGGUCUUCGGAUCGUAAAGUUCUGUUGAAGGGGAAAAAGAGCGGAGAGAGGAAAUGGUCUCCGAUUGAUAUUACCCUUCGAGGAAGUCACGGCUAACUACGUGCCAGCAGCCGCGGUAAUACGUAGGUGGCGAGCGUUAUCCGGAUUGAUUGGGCGUAAGGGGUGCGUAGGCGGCCUGCUAGCUCUGGGGUGAAAGGUACCGGCUCAACCGGUACAGGCUCUGGAAACUGGCGGGCUAGAGAGCAGGAGAGGGCGGUGGAACUCCAUGUGUAGCGGUGAAAUGCGUAGAUAUAUGGAAGAACACCAGUGGCGAAGGCGGCCGCCUGGCCUGUUACUGACGCUGAGGCACGAAAGCGUGGGGAGCAAAUAGGAUUAGAUACCCCUGUAGUC
Molecule: ribosomal RNA, 464 nt
Filed under: uncultured bacterium
Lineage: Bacteria
Description: partial 16S ribosomal RNA
Rfam family: Bacterial small subunit ribosomal RNA
Source: RNAcentral